GUGGCUAAAAAAAGGAUGAUCAUGCAGUGGGAAGAGUUGACUUUGAUUUUCAUUCGAAUUUUUCUUGUAGGCACUUUUAGUGUCUGAUUUCGGCCCGAAAAUUUCGUUCAAGAUCGUGGACAGCCUUCGGGAAGAUAUACUAGCGGGGAAGCUGAAGUCUGGAAGUGAGAUAAAGGAGGCUUUGAAGACGAGCGUGCUCCAGUUGUUGACAAGCAAGGGCAGUAAGACAGAGCUUCAGCUGGGAUUUAGAAAACCUGCAAUGAUUAUGAUUGUUGGUGUUAAUGGAGGGGGAAAGA
Long non-coding RNA from Zingiber officinale, 296 nucleotides. RefSeq lists it as uncharacterized. NCBI's taxonomy places the organism in Eukaryota, Viridiplantae, Streptophyta, Magnoliopsida, Zingiberales, Zingiberaceae. The transcript is spliced from 3 exons. The record is from RefSeq and is a predicted model, not a curated record.